UACUAGAGUAGCACUCGCAUAUCAAUAAGCGGAGGAAAAGAAACUAACAAGGAUUCCCCUAGUAACGGCGAGUGAAGCGGGAAGAGGCUCAAAUUUGAAAUCUUAAAGGGUUUCCCUUUACGAAUUGUAGUUUAAAGAAGUGUUUUCUGUUGAGGUUUUGGUAAAAGUUCUUUGGAAUAGGGACAUCAUAGAGGGUGAGAAUCCCGUAUUUGACCUUUACUUUCAACUUUGUGAUACACUUUCAAAGAGUCGGAUUGUUUGGGAAUGCAGUCCAAAAUGGGUGGUAAAUUUCAUCUAAAGCUAAAUAUUGGCGAGAGACCGAUAGCGAACAAGUACCGUGAGGGAAAGAUGAAAAGAACUUUGAAAAGAGAGUUAAACAGUAGCGUGAAAUUGUCAAAAGGGAAGCGUUUGACACCAGUGUUGUUUUUCUGAAAAUCAAUUAAAGAACUGUUUAUGCUAAGCUGUUUAGACUUUAUCAGCUAUCUGUUUAGUUUUGAGCUUUUCUUUAAUGCACUUUUCAGUUAACAAGUCAACAUCAAUUUCUUUUGCUGUAAAAAAGCUUGAGGAAGGUGGCUUGAGAUUCGUCUUAAGUGUUUAUAGCCUCUUGCCUAUGCAGUCGGAGAGAUUGAGGUCUGCAGCGUAGAUCCUUCGGGGCUAAAUGCAUUUGUGCUAAGUUAUAGCAUUUUAUAGACAACUUGUUGACUAUGAUUUGUCUUGUAGCUUACUCGCUUAUGUUAUUUUACCUACGCUUAGGAUGUUGAUCUACAGAGCGAGAGU
RNAcentral lists this ribosomal RNA (777 nucleotides) under uncultured Neocallimastigales. RNAcentral's name for it is "partial large subunit ribosomal RNA". It matches the Rfam family "Eukaryotic large subunit ribosomal RNA", at positions 20 to 635 of the family's 3401-position model. The record is from RNAcentral. Lineage: Eukaryota; Fungi; Neocallimastigomycota; Neocallimastigomycetes; Neocallimastigales.